This 119-nucleotide unclassified non-coding RNA is filed under the name Thiothrix eikelboomii. RNAcentral describes it as "HgcC family RNA". Lineage: Bacteria; Pseudomonadati; Pseudomonadota; Gammaproteobacteria; Thiotrichales; Thiotrichaceae. The record is from RNAcentral.
GGGGCUAUGCAUGAUAGAGAUAUUAAUGCAGCACGGAACAUUCUCGCGGCAGGACAUUGCCGCCUCGCUGGAGGAAUCCUCGCCCUUUAGGGCGGGGAGGAUGUCAAGGCUGCCAGUGC